UACGGAGGGUGCGAGCGUUGUCCGGAAUCACUGGGCGUAAAGGGCGCGUAGGCGGUUUGCUAAGUCACUUGUGAAAUCCCGGUGCUCAACGCCGGGGCUGCAGGUGAGACUGGCAGACUGGAGCUCGGUAGAGGCGAAUGGAAUUCCCGGUGUAGCGGUGGAAUGCGUAGAUAUCGGGAAGAACACCGGUGGCGAAGGCGGUUCGCUGGGCCGAUGCUGACGCUGAGGCGCGAAAGCGUGGGGAGCAAACAGGAUUAGAUACCCUGGUAGUCCACGCUGUAAACGAUGGGUACUAGGCGUCGGGGGGAGCGACCCCCUCGGUGCCGUCGCUAACGCAGUAAGUACCCCGCCUGGGGAGUACGGCCGCAAGGCUGAA
This 376-nucleotide ribosomal RNA is filed under the name uncultured bacterium. Its description in RNAcentral is "bacterial SSU rRNA". It matches the Rfam family "Bacterial small subunit ribosomal RNA", at positions 524 to 898 of the family's 1533-position model. The record is from RNAcentral.